RNAcentral lists this ribosomal RNA (395 nucleotides) under uncultured bacterium. RNAcentral describes it as "bacterial SSU rRNA". It matches the Rfam family "Bacterial small subunit ribosomal RNA", at positions 28 to 420 of the family's 1533-position model. The record is from RNAcentral.
GAUGAACGCUAGCGGCAGGCCUAAUACAUGCAAGACGAACGGUAAGUUGAGUAGCAAUACUUAGCCAAGAGUGUCGUACGGGUGCGUAACACGUAUGCAACCUACCCUAUACAGGAGGAUAGCCUAGGGAAACCUGGAUUAACCCUUCAUAGUAUUAUUGGAUGGCAUCAUUUGAUAAUUAAAACUGAGGUGGUAUAGGAUGGGCAUGCGUCUGAUUAGUUAGUUGGCGGGGUAAUGGCCCACCAAGACGAUGAUCAGUAGGGGUUCUGAGAGGAAGAUCCCCCACACUGGCACUGAGAUACGGGCCAGACUCCUACGGGAGGCAGCAGUAGGGAAUAUUGGUCAAUGGAUGCAAGUCUGAACCAGCCAUGCCGCGUGCAGGAAGAAGGCCUUCU